GUUAUAGGGUCAAGCGAAUAAGUGCAUGUGGUGGAUGCCUUGGCGAUCACAGGCGAUGAAGGACGUAGUAGCUUGCGAAAAGCUGCGGGGAGCUGGCAAACGAGCUUUGAUCCGCAGAUGUCCGAAUGGGGAAACCCGGCCCGUAUGGGUCAUCCCUUGCUGAAUACAUAGGCAAGGGAGGCGAACGCAGUGAACUGAAACAUCUAAGUAGCUGCAGGAAAAGAAAUCAACCGAGAUUCCCAAGUAGUGGCGAGCGAAAUGGGAACAGCCUUGUACUCUUUAGCAGUAUUGUUAGCGGAACGGAAUGGAAAGUCCGGCCAUAGUGGGUGAUAGCCCCGUACGCGAAAACAGUAUUGUGGAACUAGGUGUACGACAAGUAGGGCGGGACACGUGAAAUCCUGUCUGAAGAUGGGGGGACCAUCCUCCAAGGCUAAAUACUCGUGAUCGACCGAUAGUGAACCAGUACCGUGAGGGAAAGGCGAAAAGAACCCCGGGAGGGGAGUGAAAUAGAUCCUGAAACCGCAUGCAUACAAACAGUCGGAGCCUGGAAACGGGUGACGGCGUACCUUUUGUAUAAUGGGUCAGCGACUUACAUUCAGUGGCAAGCUUAACCGAUUAGGGAAGGCGUAGCGAAAGCGAGUCCGAAUAGGGCGUUCAGUCGCUGGGUGUAGACCCGAAACCAAGUGAUCUAUCCAUGGCCAGGUUGAAGGUGCGGUAACACGUACUGGAGGACCGAACCCACUAACGUUGAAAAGUUAGGGGAUGAGCUGUGGAUAGGGGUGAAAGGCUAAACAAACUUGGAAAUAGCUGGUUCUCUCCGAAAACUAUUUAGGUAGUGCCUCGUGUCUCACCUUCGGGGGUAGAGCACUGUCAUGGUUGGGGGGUCUAUUGCUGAUUACCCCGCCAUAGCAAACUCCGAAUACCGAAGAGUGCAAUCACGGGAGACAGACAUCGGGUGCUAACGUCCGGUGUCAAGAGGGAAACAACCCAGACCGCCAGCUAAGGUCCCUAAGAUUGGCUAAGUGGGAAACGAAGUGGGAAGGCUAAAACAGUCAGGAGGUUGGCUUAGAAGCAGCCACCCUUUAAAGAAAGCGUAAUAGCUCACUGAUCGAGUCGUCCUGCGCGGAAGAUGUAACGGGGCUAAGCCAGUCACCGAAGCUGCGGAUGCACGUAAGUGCAUGGUAGGAGAGCGUUCUGUAAGCCUGUGAAGGUGUCUUGUAAAGGAUGCUGGAGGUAUCAGAAGUGCGAAUGCUGACAUGAGUAGCGAUAAAGGGGGUGAAAGGCCCCCUCGCCGUAAGCCCAAGGUUUCCUACGCAACGUUCAUCGGCGUAGGGUGAGUCGGCCCCUAAGGCGAGGCAGAGAUGCGUAGCUGAUGGGAAGCAGGUUAAUAUUCCUGCACCGUCGUAUGAUGCGAUGGGGGGACGGAUCGCGGAAGGUUGUCCGGGUGUUGGAAGUCCCGGUCCCUACAUUGGAGAUGGCACUUAGGCAAAUCCGGGUGCGUGAUUCAAGGGUGUGGGGCGAGCGACGUUAGGUCGCGAAGCAAUUGGAAGUGGUUCCAAGAAAAGCCUCUAAGCUUCAGUCAUACGAGACCGUACCGCAAACCGACACAGGUGGGCGAGAUGAGUAUUCUAAGGCGCUUGAGAGAACUCGGGAGAAGGAACUCGGCAAAUUGGUACCGUAACUUCGGGAUAAGGUACGCCCUUGUAGUUUGACUGGCUCGCGCCAGAAGGAUGAAGGGGUUGCAAUAAAAUGGUGGCUGCGACUGUUUAAUAAAAACACAGCACUCUGCAAACACGAAAGUGGACGUAUAGGGUGUGACGCCUGCCCGGUGCCGGAAGAUUAAAUGAUGGGGUGCAAGCUCUUGAUUGAAGUCCCGGUAAACGGCGGCCGUAACUAUAACGGUCCUAAGGUAGCGAAAUUCCUUGUCGGGUAAGUUCCGACCUGCACGAAUGGCGUAACGAUGGCCACACUGUCUCCUCCCGAGACUCAGCGAAGUUGAAGUGUUUGUGAUGAUGCAAUCUCCCCGCGGCUAGACGGAAAGACCCCAUGAACCUUUACUGUAGCUUUGCAUUGGACUUUGAACCGAUCUGUGUAGGAUAGGUGGGAGGCUUUGAAACCGGGACGCUAGUUUCGGUGGAGCCGACCUUGAAAUACCACCCUGGUUUGUUUGAGGUUCUAACCUUGGCCCGUGAAUCCGGGUCGGGGACAGUGCAUGGUAGGCAGUUUGACUGGGGCGGUCUCCUCCCAAAGUGUAACGGAGGAGUUCGAAGGUACGCUUGGUACGGUCGGACAUCGUACCUAAAGUGCAAUGGCAAAAGCGUGCUUAACUGCGAGACCGACAAGUCGAGCAGGUGCGAAAGCAGGACAUAGUGAUCCGGUGGUUCUGUAUGGAAGGGCCAUCGCUCAACGGAUAAAAGGUACUCUGGGGAUAACAGGCUGAUACCGCCCAAGAGUUCAUAUCGACGGCGGUGUUUGGCACCUCGAUGUCGGCUCAUCUCAUCCUGGGGCUGUAGCCGGUCCCAAGGGUAUGGCUGUUCGCCAUUUAAAGAGGUACGUGAGCUGGGUUUAAAACGUCGUGAGACAGUUUGGUCCCUAUCUGCCGUGGGCGUUGGAAUCUUGACGGGGGCUGCUCCUAGUACGAGAGGACCGGAGUGGACGUACCGCUGGUGUACCUGUUGUCUCGCCAGAGGCAUCGCAGGNUAGCUAUGUACGGAAGAGAUAACCGCUGAAAGCAUCUAAGCGGGAAACUCGCCUGAAGAUGAGGAUUCCCUGGAGACUUGAUCUCCCUGAAGGGUCGUUCGAGACCAGGACGUUGAUAGGCUGGGUGUGGAAGCGCAGUAAUGUGUUCAGCUAACCAGUACUAAUUGCCCGUGCGGCUUGAUCCUAUAACC
This 2891-nucleotide ribosomal RNA is filed under the name Ralstonia solanacearum. RNAcentral describes it as "bacterial LSU rRNA". It matches the Rfam family "Bacterial large subunit ribosomal RNA". Lineage: Bacteria; Pseudomonadati; Pseudomonadota; Betaproteobacteria; Burkholderiales; Burkholderiaceae. RNAcentral also lists the same sequence under 1 other name. The record is from RNAcentral.